This is a long non-coding RNA of Anguilla rostrata (American eel), 2761 nucleotides long. RefSeq lists it as uncharacterized. The record is from RefSeq and is a predicted model, not a curated record. Lineage: Eukaryota; Metazoa; Chordata; Actinopteri; Anguilliformes; Anguillidae. The transcript has 3 exons.
UUUAAAUGCUUUUUGCUUCUGGGAGAAGGAGAAGCAGAUUUUUGAUUUUGUUAAAUUGAUGAUGUAAGGUUGUGAAACUGUGAAAACGUUCAGUCCACUGUGAGAGGACAGCAGACAGAAAGCUAGGCCUGCAGUGUAUCUGUCUGACUGCUGCACACCAGAGCAAGAAACAAUGAGUUUGUAAUUUGAUUAUGCUUAGAGGACCUUUUUUCUUUUUUUCCCCAGACAUUAAUUGGCUAAUAUUUGUCUUAUGUGUCUGGCAUUUCAGAGAACAGAAAAUGCAUUUCUCUUCCAUUAUGGGGGAGUGCCUUUUCUCCAACAUCCCCCGACUCUUAGCUGCUAUUUUAAUCUUUGGUUACUGUGGAAACCAGCAGGAUGUGCCAACCUCCUGCAUACAGUGGUGACUACACCAAUCACAUCUGGGUGUGUAUAUUUCUCUUUGAAUUAAAACCCAUAUCAAACGUCUGCAGUGGUGAGUUCUUUUCCUGUGCUGUUUCACAGAUUUUGGAUACCAUGCUGUGGUAAUAACAGUGCUUAGACAAAAAAGAAAAAAAAAGAAAAUUCUACUUAUCUGGUCGAAGUCACCUGCCAAUUAGCGAUCACUCUAGGUUUCAUUUUUCACCAUUAAUUCACAUUAUUAUGAAAUGUAAAUCCAUGAAGUAUAUUAUGAACAAGUAUGUGUGUGCUGUUUUUCUUUCUGUCACUCUCUGGCAUUACAAAGUGGCUGAUUCUAGUCUGAAUCAGGAACUUUUUGUUACUGAUUAUUCUAUAUUGAUAUAUGUCAAUAAAUAACUUGAAUACUAAUGCUUUGUAGUAGAUUGUAGCUCUUCUGACAGGACUGACAUGUAUUUGUGCAAUAGAUGUAUUCUUUUAUGCCUUGAUGACAUUGUCAUCUUUAGAUUUUACAUUUUCGUUAUAAUUUAUUGCAGUGCAUUUUACCCUUCAUAUUUAUUGUUGUAUGACUCAGAGUUUUAAAACAUACACAUGAAAAUUUAUGAUAUUGAAUCAAGUGUUAACAUUUCAUGCAUCCACAGAAACACAGUAUUUUUUUUUUUCCAAAUUACAUUUCAGUAUGUUUAUUUUAGUAUUACCAAUGAAACAAAAUAAGACAGGAAUAAAAAAAAGAAAAAUCCUUCUGAACAGAUGCACGAAGGUAUAUUGAAUUUAAAAAAAAAAUUCAUUAAAAAAUAUUCUUGUGUCACAGCUGGGAUGAUGUGAUCCAGUACAUUCUUGUCUUGGUACUACAACAGUAUUUUGACAGAAUACUACAAACUGUCUGUACAGUAACCAGUGUGAUGGCAAGAAAGGAACUGGGGUGCUGUCCUCCAGGGGGCAGCAUCGGCCUUACAGACAGGUCUGGCCGCAGCUGUGGUUCAUUGUAAUCACACCAGCUGCAGCCCCAUGACCUAAUUAUGGGCUCUAUAAGAGGCCUAGCUCCCAGGCCUAAGGAUAUGCUGCUUUUUAAAAAAUGUUUUAGAUGUGUUUGGGAGCUGGGCUAUUAACAGUGUGAUGGAUUGAUGCCAGUUUUUGGAUGAUUUUUGUUAUUACUCUUCCUUUGAAGGGUUUGGUUGCCAGAUUGGCCUUUUUGUGUGGCCUUUACUACUUUGGUGUUUUGGACAAAUAAAACCGAGAAAUGCUGAAUGUUAAAGGAAACGGCUUAAACAGUCUCCUUCAAGCUGAAAAGCUCAUCUGGACUGCACACUUGCCUGGGGUCUCCCUGGCACGCUGUACCCCAGCCUACUGACAGGAACAUGAGCACUAGGUUGAAAUCAUGUUAAAAAAGAAAUGUUUUGAAAAAAAAUAAAAAUAAAGAAGAGACAUGACACCUGUGAAUUCGGAAGAUGAGACAAAACAACCAGCUGACAAUAUGACUGUGAGCGUGAUGCUGAGGCUUCUGUUUGCAGACCUGUGAUGAGAAAUCUCACUAAUGAAGGGGAUUCUGCGAUGAAAAAUUUGACUUGUGAAGACAGGUUUAUUUUAGCAAUGUGAAAUGUUCUGUUUGUCUCUUGACUCACCUGCACAACUGGGAAAGCUUGGGAAUAGAACCUGCUAGAGAAGUCAGCUGUUCUGUGUGUGAAAUGUGUAGAACACGGUUCAUGGACAAUAGGUCCUAGAAGGCCAAUGAAGCCUAUUUUACCCUAUAAACAAUUAACAUAAUUGUCAAUGACAAUGUCUGUUCACAUACAUGUUAAAUAUUGGAAAAAACUCCACACACCGCAAUUACUGCUCUUGGAAAAACUUUAUUCACCCUCGAGAAUGAAUGUUUUGAUCCACAUUGGAUCUUUAGGCCACAGUAGUUGUGGCAUGUGAAGUUCAUUCCCAUUUCACUCAGCACCUCAUGUUUACACCUGCAGUGUUUAUUUGGAGGUACUUUGCCUAUAGAUACGUUACAGGAAGGAAGGAGAAAUAUAGGGAGGAAUAUAACAGAAAUGCCAUUUUAUUUGUUCAUUAUGUGGCAUAGUGAGGUUGUCAUAAUUCUCGUAAUAAGCGAAUCAGUUUUAUCAUCAGUGAGAGGAGACUAGUAUAGAAGGAAAAAAAGGAUAAUGUGCUGAAAAAAUCAUCUAAGUCAUGGGCGCUGAAUCAGAGUAGGCUGAAUAGUAAACUUUGAAGAGUUUUUUCCUUUGCUUAAGGAUAAAGACACUUUUUUCCCUGUGUACUGUAUGUAAUACAAGAAAGAUCAGGAGGGCCAUGGCAUACACCGUGUACUGUAUGAGCCCACUGUAAAGAAGAGACUCAAAUAAUAAACCUGUAUGACAAGCUU